This is a long non-coding RNA of Lagopus leucura (white-tailed ptarmigan), 1623 nucleotides long. RefSeq lists it as uncharacterized. The record is from RefSeq and is a predicted model, not a curated record. The transcript has 4 exons. NCBI's taxonomy places the organism in Eukaryota, Metazoa, Chordata, Aves, Galliformes, Phasianidae.
UAAAGUGUCUCCUACCUCAGCAGAAAAGUUAUCAUGGGAGACAAUGUCAACUUUAUGGAGGGGGGAGGGCCCAUUCAGUGCCUCAGUCCCCGCCUGUGAGAGCUGCUGCCUCUCUUUUAUGUGUCAGCGCUGCAGAUGCUGAUGUCCUCCCUCCCAAAUGCUGCUUUGUCAGCUGGCGCUGUCACACAGCCCUGGAUCUCUCUCUGCCUCUCACUGCCUUCCUCUCCGUGCCAGGGCACCCAGGGACCUGUCUCCUUCCUUGCAAGGAGGUUUGCCUCUCUUCCUGCCUACAUGUCCUCCACCACACUCAUGGUUUGGAGAGGAUCCAGGACUGGUCCCACUCCAUGAAGGAAUGUUUGUGCUGUGACACAGGUGACACAGGCAGGCCAUGAUGCGUGGGCAGGAGCAGGCCAUGAUGGGGACAUCCACCCGAUACAGCACUGCAGAGGGACUUUGGCUGCUGCACCACCAGGAACACAGCUCUGCUGGGUCCUCUGAGGGCAUCUGGAAGCGCUCUGGGUCCCUGUUGCCGUAUUUCCCUGCACACUGCCUGCAUCAGUGGGUUGUGAAAGCACGUUUGUCCCAGUGCUGAGUCCCGUCCAUCCAUCCUCCAACGGAGAACCACACGUUGUUGGGUCAAGAGCGGGCAGCAAUGGGCAACAACAGCGGUGGUGGUUUUUGUUGUUGUUUCCCCAGAUCGCUGUGCAAUAUAUUCCAAUUUUUUUUCUUGUCAUUAAGCCAGUGCCUCGGAGAUGAUGAUGUAGUCCCUAUGUGGGCCGCAGAAAGCACUUCGAGCCGUGCUGGAGUCGUGCUGGGUGGCUCUGAUAGCAGAGCUAAUGGGAGCGAAUGGGAUGCAACGAACUGUUCUAAUGACACCAGCCAGGGAAGAGACAACAUGCCAAGAGCCAGCUUCUCAGAACGGAUGUUGAAAACCAAGCAUGGCUGGCUGUACAGGACUACUGCCCUGGGAUGAAGCAGGAAUAACUGGAGGUUCCUCCAAUGAUGCCAGUGGAGUGAUAUUGCAAAAGAGUCCCUGCUGGUGGUUUGGGCCUCUUCUGUGGAGUGAGGGUUUGUGCCCUGUCAUCUCCACCUUGCAGAUGAGGAAGCUGAAGCAUGGAGUGGAGCCUUCACCAUCUUCCAUAACAAGCCUCCUAAUGACAGACACGGGUCUCUGGGCAGUGAAUCAACAACCACACGUGGAAGUGAGCAAGUGCCAGAUACAAAUAUCGACGUUCCCCUGACAGACACCUCCGUGCUGGGCCUGGGUGAGGGCUGGAGCAGACACUGGGCCCGGGCCUCCCAGCAGGAUUUCCAUCUGCCGGCACAGCUGAAGGUCUGCCCUUGUUUUCUAUCUGGGCCCCAAGGAGAGCUGGUGGCAGUGGUGGUGAUUUGAUGAUGUUGGAAAGGUGCUGGUGGUGCUGCCAGAUAUCAUCAGCACGUGUGGGGUAAACAGAUGCAUCUCACCUCAUCAUCGAUAAAAACCAUGCUAUAAAAAUCUGACUGAAACGUGGUUUUUCCCACAUGAACUUUAAAAUGUUUUCAGUUUGGAAAGCGUGAAGGCAAUUCCUUAACAACGAGUUUCUAUGAGAACACAUUGCAAAUUACAUAUCCCAUUAAAAAAUA